RNAcentral lists this ribosomal RNA (709 nucleotides) under uncultured bacterium. Its description in RNAcentral is "bacterial SSU rRNA". It matches the Rfam family "Bacterial small subunit ribosomal RNA", at positions 57 to 795 of the family's 1533-position model. The record is from RNAcentral.
GCAGUCGACGAACUCUUCGGAGUUAGUGGCGGACGGGUGAGUAACACGUGGGAACGUGCCUUUAGGUUCGGAAUAACUCAGGGAAACUUGUGCUAAUACCGAAUGUGCCCUUCGGGGGAAAGAUUUAUCGCCUUUAGAGCGGCCCGCGUCUGAUUAGCUAGUUGGUGAGGUAAAGGCUCACCAAGGCGACGACGGGUAGCCGGCCUGAGAGGGUGACCGGCCACACUGGGACUGAGACACGGCCCAGACUCCUACGGGAGGCAGCAGUGGGGAAUAUUGCACAAUGGGCGCAAGCCUGAUGCAGCAACGCCGCGUGAGGGACGAAGGCCUUCGGGUUGUAAACCUCUUUUAGUAGGGAAGAAGCGACUGGGUUUUCCUGGGAGUGACGGUACCUGCAGAAAAAGCACCGGCUAACUACGUGCCAGCAGCCGCGGUAAUACGUAGGGUGCAAGCAUUGUCCGGAAUUAUUGGGCGUAAAGAGCUCGUAGGCGGUUUGUCGCGUCUGCUGUGAAAACCCGAGGCUCAACCUCGGGCCUGCAGUGGGUACGGGCAGACUAGAGUGCGGUAGGGGAGAUUGGAAUUCCUGGUGUAGCGGUGGAAUGCGCAGAUAUCAGGAGGAACACCAAUGGCGAAGGCAGAUCUCUGGGCCGUAACUGACGCUGAGGAGCGAAAGCAUGGGGAGCGAACAGGAUUAGAUACCCUGGUAGUC